UAGCUAGCUACAUGUACGAUACAUGUGUAUGCAC
RNAcentral lists this non-coding RNA (34 nucleotides) under Partenskyella glossopodia. Lineage: Eukaryota; Cercozoa; Chlorarachniophyceae. The record is from RNAcentral.